CCUACGGGAGGCAGCAGUGAGGAAUAUUGGUCAAUGGACGAGAGUCUGAACCAGCCAAGUCGCGUGAAGGAUGACUGCUCUAUGGGUUGUAAACUUCUUUUAUAUGGGAAUAAAAUGUUCCACGUGUGGGAUUUUGUAUGUCCAAUAUGAAUAAGGCUCGGCGAACUCCGUGCCAGCAGCCGCGGUAAUACGGAGGAUCCGAGCGUUAUCCGGCUUUAUUGGGUUUAACGGGAGCGUAGGUGGAUUGUUAAGUCAGUUGUGAAAGUUUGCGGCUCAACCGUAAAAUUGCAGUUGAAACUGGCAGUCUUGAGUACAGUAGAGGUGAGCGGAAUUCGUGGUGUAGCGGUGAAAUGCGUAGAUAUCACGAAGAACACCGAUGGCGAAGGCAGCUCACUGGACUGCAACUGACACUGAGGCUCGAAAGUGUGGGUAGCAAACAGGAUUAGAUACCCCUGUAGUC
Molecule: ribosomal RNA, 460 nt
Filed under: uncultured bacterium
Lineage: Bacteria
Description: partial 16S ribosomal RNA
Rfam family: Bacterial small subunit ribosomal RNA
Source: RNAcentral